UACGGGAGGCAGCAGUGGGGAAUAUUGGACAAUGGGCGAAAGCCUGAUCCAGCCAUGCCGCGUGUGUGAAGAAGGUCUUCGGAUUGUAAAGCACUUUAAGUUGGAAGGAAGGGCAGUAACCUAAUACGUUAUUGUUUUGACGUUACCGACAGAAUAAGCACCGGCUAACUCUGUGCCAGCAGCCGCGGUAA
Molecule: ribosomal RNA, 191 nt
Filed under: uncultured Pseudomonas sp.
Lineage: Bacteria; Pseudomonadati; Pseudomonadota; Gammaproteobacteria; Pseudomonadales; Pseudomonadaceae
Description: partial 16S ribosomal RNA
Rfam family: Bacterial small subunit ribosomal RNA
Source: RNAcentral